AACGAACGCUGGCGGCAUGCUUAACACAUGCAAGUCGAACGAGACCUCCGGGUUUAGUGGCGCACGGGCGCGUAAUGCGGGGGAACACGCGCUAAGGAUCGGAAUAACUUCUGGAACGGGGUGCUAAUACCGGAUAAUGUCUUCGGACCAAAGAUUUAUCGCCUUUGGGUGGGCCCGCGUUGGAUUAGCUAGUUGGUAGGGUAACAGCCUACCAAGGCGACGAUCCAUAGCUGGUCUGAGAGGAUGAUCAGCCACACUGGGACGGAGACACGGCAGAGACUCCUACGGGAGGCAGCAGUGGGGAAUAUUGGACAAUGGGCGAAAGCCUGAUCCAGCAAUGCCGCGUGAGUGAUGAAGGCCUUAGGGUUGUAAAGCUCUUUUACCCGGGAUGAUAAUGACAGUACCGGGAGAAUAAGCUCCGGCUAACUCCGUG
This 433-nucleotide ribosomal RNA is filed under the name uncultured bacterium. RNAcentral describes it as "partial 16S ribosomal RNA". It matches the Rfam family "Bacterial small subunit ribosomal RNA", at positions 29 to 507 of the family's 1533-position model. The record is from RNAcentral.